GUUGUAUGGUUAAGUGACUAAGCGUAUGUGGUGGAUGCCUUGGCAGUUAGAGGCGAUGAAGGACGUGUUAAUCUGCGAAAAGCCCAGUUAAGCCGAUAAAAGGCGUUAUAGGCUGGGAUGUCCGAAUGGGGAAACCCACUCAACGUAAGUUGGGUAUCGUUAAGUGAAUACAUAGCUUAACGAGGCGAACCGGGAGAACUGAAACAUCUAAGUACCCCGAGGAAAAGAAAUCAACCGAGAUUUCCUUAGUAGCGGCGAGCGAACGGGAAUUAGCCCUUAAGCGGUUUGUAAGUUAGUGGAAUGCUCUGGAAAGGGCAGCGAUACAGGGUGAUAGCCCCGUACAUGAAAACGAACUUACCGUGAAAUCGAGUAGGACGGAACACGUGAAAUUCUGUCUGAAUAUGGGGGGACCAUCCUCCAAGGCUAAAUACUCCUAACUGACCGAUAGUGAACCAGUACCGUGAGGGAAAGGCGAAAAGAACCCCUGUGAGGGGAGUGAAAUAGAACCUGAAACCGCAUACGUACAAGCAGUGGAAGCCCUUCGGGGUGACUGCGUACCUUUUGUAUAAUGGGUCAGCGACUUAUGUUCUGUAGCAAGGUUAACCGAUUAGGGGAGCCGUAGCGAAAGCGAGUGUUAACUGCGCGUUUAGUUGCAGGGCAUAGACCCGAAACCCGGCGAUCUACCCAUGGGCAGGUUGAAGGUUGAGUAACAUCAACUGGAGGACCGAACACACGUAUGUUGAAAAAUGCGGUGAUGACCUGUGGGUCGGAGUGAAAGGCUAAUCAAGCCGGGAGAUAGCUGGUUCUCCCCGAAAUCUAUUUAGGUAGAGCCUCGGACGAACACCAUUGGGGGUAGAGCACUGUUAAGGCUAGGGGGUCAUCCCGACUUACCAACCCUUUGCAAACUCCGAAUACCAAUGAGUGCUAUCCGGGAGACACACUUAGGGUGCUAACGUCCUAAGUGGAAAGGGAAACAACCCAGACCGCCAGCUAAGGUCCCAAAGUCUAUGUUAAGUGGGAAACGAUGUGGAAAGGCCCAGACAGCUAGGAGGUUGGCUUAGAAGCAGCCACCCUUUAAAGAAAGCGUAAUAGCUCACUAGUCGAGUCGGUCUGCGCGGAAGAUGUAACGGGGCUAAACAUAGCACCGAAGCUGCGGAUUUGAACGUAAGUUCAAGUGGUAGGGGAGCGUUCUGUAAGCCGUUGAAGGUGUGUUGUAAAGCAUGCUGGAGGUAUCAGAAGUGCGAAUGCUGACAUGAGUAACGAUAAGGGGAGUGAAAAACUCCCCCGCCGAAAGACCAAGGUUUCCUGUCCCAUGUUAAUCAGGGCAGGGUAAGUCGGCCCCUAAGGCGAGACCGAAAGGUGUAGUCGAUGGGAAACAGAUUAAUAUUUCUGUACUUCUAUAUAUUGCGAAGGAGGGACGGAGCAGGCUAAGCAAGCAUGGCGUUGGUAGUCCAUGUGAAAGUAUGUAGGCUGGAAAUUUAGGU
Molecule: ribosomal RNA, 1484 nt
Filed under: Thalassotalea sp. Y01
Lineage: Bacteria; Pseudomonadati; Pseudomonadota; Gammaproteobacteria; Alteromonadales; Colwelliaceae
Description: partial 23S ribosomal RNA
Rfam family: Bacterial large subunit ribosomal RNA
Source: RNAcentral